RNAcentral lists this ribosomal RNA (254 nucleotides) under uncultured bacterium. Its description in RNAcentral is "partial 16S ribosomal RNA". It matches the Rfam family "Bacterial small subunit ribosomal RNA", at positions 524 to 776 of the family's 1533-position model. The record is from RNAcentral.
UACGGGGGGAGCAAGCGUUGUUCGGAUAUACUGGGCGUAAAGGGCGCGUAGGCGGCCACCGCAAGUCAGUUGUGAAAGCUCUGGGCUUAACCCAGAAAGGUCAACUGAUACUGCGGGGCUAGAGUGCAGAAGGGGCAACUGGAAUUCUCGGUGUAGCGGUGAAAUGCGUAGAUAUCGAGAGGAACACCUGCGGCGAAGGCGGGUUGCUGGGCUGACACUGACGCUGAAGUGCGAAAGUGUGGGGAUCAAACAGG